This 253-nucleotide ribosomal RNA is filed under the name uncultured bacterium. RNAcentral's name for it is "partial 16S ribosomal RNA". It matches the Rfam family "Bacterial small subunit ribosomal RNA", at positions 524 to 776 of the family's 1533-position model. The record is from RNAcentral.
UACAGAGGGUGCAAGCGUUAAUCGGAGUUACUGGGCGUAAAGGGCGCGUAGGCGGUUAUUUAAGUGAGAUGUGAAAUCCCUGGGCUUAACCUAGGAACUGCAUCUCAUACUGGAUGACUUGAGUAUUGUAGAGGGUAGUGGAAUUUCCGGUGUAGCGGUGAAAUGCGUAGAGAUCGGAAGGAACACCAGUGGCGAAGGCGGCUACCUGGACAAAUACUGACGCUGAGGCGCGAGAGCGUGGGGAGCAAACAGG